GUGUCAGCAGCCGCGGUAAUACGUAGGGGGCGAGCGUUGUCCGGAUUUACUGGGCGUAAAGAGCGCGUAGGCGGUUGGGAGAGUCGGCUGUGAAAUCUCUGGGCCCAACCCAGAGGGGUCGGCCGAGACCUCCCGACUUGAGGGUGGUAGAGGAAGGUGGAAUUCCGGGUGUAGUGGUGAAAUGCGUAGAGAUCCGGAGGAACACCAGUGGCGAAGGCGGCCUUCUGGGCCACACCUGACGCUGAGGCGCGAAAGCGUGGGGAGCGAACCGAAUUAGAAACCCCAGUAGUCC
RNAcentral lists this ribosomal RNA (292 nucleotides) under uncultured bacterium. Its description in RNAcentral is "partial 16S ribosomal RNA". It matches the Rfam family "Bacterial small subunit ribosomal RNA", at positions 505 to 796 of the family's 1533-position model. The record is from RNAcentral.